RNAcentral lists this ribosomal RNA (254 nucleotides) under uncultured bacterium. Its description in RNAcentral is "partial 16S ribosomal RNA". It matches the Rfam family "Bacterial small subunit ribosomal RNA", at positions 524 to 776 of the family's 1533-position model. The record is from RNAcentral.
UACGUAGGUGGCUAGCGUUGUCCGGAUUUACUGGGCGUAAAGCGCGCGCAGGCGGUCGUUCAAGUCGAGUGUGAAAGCCCCCGGCUCAACUGGGGAGGGUCACGCGAUACUGAUCGACUCGAAGGCAGGAGAGGGUAGUGGAAUUCCCGGUGUAGUGGUGAAAUGCGUAGAUAUCGGGAGGAACACCAGUGGCGAAGGCGACUACCUGGCCUGUUUCUUGACGCUGAGGCGCGAAAGCUAGGGGAGCAAACGGG